GCUGCCAUUCCUCUGCAGCAGGAGCACUUUCCAUUCUCUUUUUCUUCAGGGAUUUGAUUUUGUGUAGACGUGGGAAGAGUAUGCAAACGACUUGAUCAAGAGCAUUGAAGAAAAUAAUGGUCUAGGCAGAUAUACCGGAGGGCCUGAUGAUCAGAAAGAGGACCUUACCAGCAAGAGAAUGAUUGGAGUGGGUGAAGAGCGAGAUGGCCUAUAUUUCUACAAACA
This is a long non-coding RNA of Juglans regia (Persian walnut), 225 nucleotides long. RefSeq lists it as uncharacterized. The transcript is spliced from 3 exons. The record is from RefSeq and is a predicted model, not a curated record. NCBI's taxonomy places the organism in Eukaryota, Viridiplantae, Streptophyta, Magnoliopsida, Fagales, Juglandaceae.